AAACAUUAACGUGAACUGACAAUAUUUACGGUAAUAAUAUGAUUUGACAACUUCUCCAACUUACCAGAAUCUAGGAGAAAACAAAACAGAUGUGACUUUUCUUAUAAAGGCUGCUGUAUAACUUGCUCGUUUCCUCAUGAUGAAUAAAUGUUUCUUCCAUGGAUUGAUACGGUAAAAUGAAAGUGAGAACGUAAGUCGGAAAUCCGUGAGAGCUCAUAGCUGUCAACACGACAGUAACCAAAGGAACUAUUGUUAUUUGGGUUUGAGUUUCCCGAGGGACCGAUAUAGUUGACGGACACAGGAAGUGUGUGUCCUUACAUUUGUUAAGGUCCGAAUUGCGGAGCUGCAAUAAACGUCGACUCAAAUGAGUUCAAGAAACUAAAUUCUGUGCUUUAUGAAGAGUGAAAAAAGCAGAAUUUAACACAGACGAAAUCAUUCGGCCGAUUAGAAUGCAGUUCCUCUAACCGAUGCAUUUACAUCACUACCCUUUGCAGCCAACAGUAAAAAAAAAAAAAAAAAAUCCAGUAAAGCUGUCAAUGACAAGCCUCUAAACAAGAUGCUGCAAUCUGGAAAAACAGAAGAUAACUUACUGCGGAUGUCUCUGCGCUGUGACCAAGUAGAUGUGAUCGCACGCCACUGAUGCUCGCUGUGAAAGAUGGUUACCGUGGUGAUUUGUGACCGCACUGCGCAUGUCACCCAGCUUGCGGCAGCUUCCGGAAGUAGAAGAGGAGGUCAGCUUUCACACUCACUCAUCUAAUGGAAA
Corythoichthys intestinalis (scribbled pipefish) is the source of this 763-nucleotide long non-coding RNA. RefSeq lists it as uncharacterized. The transcript is spliced from 3 exons. The record is from RefSeq and is a predicted model, not a curated record. Lineage: Eukaryota; Metazoa; Chordata; Actinopteri; Syngnathiformes; Syngnathidae.